Molecule: ribosomal RNA, 1171 nt
Filed under: seawater metagenome
Description: bacterial SSU rRNA
Rfam family: Bacterial small subunit ribosomal RNA
Source: RNAcentral
UGAGUUUGAUCCUGGCUCAGGAUUAACGCUAAUAACAUGCUUUACACAUGCAAGUCAUACGCUACUAAUAAGCGUGGCGCACGGGUGAGUAAUAUCACAAGUCACUUUAUACUUUACAGAUAGGAAUAAUACCGCACAAGUUUUAUAUUUAAAACUUUGUACACCCGGUAAAUACCUUCAAAGAAUUAAAAUUCGCUGUAAAAUUAACUUGUGAAAGAUUAGGUAGUUGGUGGUAACACAUCAAGCCUUCGAUCUUUAGUUGGUCUGCGAGGACGAUCAACCACACUGGAACUGAAAUAUGGUCCAGGCCGUAUAUGGCCAGCAGUGAGGAAUAUUGGACAAUGAACGAAAGUUUGAUCCAGCAAUGUUAUAUGAUUGAUGACGGCUUUUCAAAGUUGUAAAACUCUGUCACCUAAAAGGAUAAAUGACAUUUUAGGUAAAUAGUCCCGGCUAAUACUCGUGCCAGCAGCCGCGGUAAUACGGGAGGGGCAAGCGUUAUCCGAAAUAACUGGGCGUAAAGGGUCCGUAGAUUGUGUUGUAAGUUACUUCAAAAAUACUAGAGGCCUAACCUCAGUCUGAAGUUAAUACUACUCCACUCGAGUUGAUAACAGAAGAAUAGAACUCUGUAAGAAGAGAUAAAAUUCGCAGAUAAACAGAAGAACAUCUAUUUGGCGUAAGCAAUUCUUUAGUAACAACUGACGUUGAGGGACGAAAGUGUAGGUAGCAAACAGGAUUAGAUACCCUGGUAGUCUACACCGUAAAUGCUGAGUGCUCAAACUUAAAUUUUUAGGUUUCAAGCUAACGCGUUAAGCACUCCGCCUGAGGAGUACGAUCGCAGGAUUGGAACUCAAAGGAAUUGACGGGGGCCUACCACAAGUGGUGGAGCAUGUGGUUUAAUGCGAUAAUCCGCGCGAAACCUUACCAGCCUUUGUAUAAAACAAAAAAGAACUUUCUAAUUCCCCUAAAGAAUAAAAUUUUUUCUGGGGUAAUUCCGUUUUACAGGUGUUGCACGACUGUCGUCAGCUCGUGUCGUGAGAUCGUUGGUUAAUUCCUUAAACGGGCGUAACUCUUCUUUUCAAACACUUUAAUGUAAAAACACUGCUCAUUACAAAUGAGAGGAAGAAAAGAAUCACGUCAAGUCUCUGUGGCCCUAAUAGUCUGGGCUACACAU